Ruditapes philippinarum (Manila clam) is the source of this 620-nucleotide long non-coding RNA. RefSeq lists it as uncharacterized. The record is from RefSeq and is a predicted model, not a curated record. The transcript is spliced from 4 exons. NCBI's taxonomy places the organism in Eukaryota, Metazoa, Mollusca, Bivalvia, Venerida, Veneridae.
GAUUAAUAAAUUGAUAUUAGUCAAAACCCCGUUCAUAAAAUAACGCUGGUCAAGGGAAGUAAUUGUUGCGAUCUCUGAUUUUGUUUGUGUCUAUGAUUAUCGUUUGUGCAAAUGGUGGCGCUGUUGGGAAAAUUUGAAAACAACACGAUUGGCAAUUUAUUUGGAUUUCGGAGAUCCUUGCCCUGGUUGAAAUUUAGAGUAUUGCAGCUGUAGCCUGUAUACCAUACAUUCAACAUGAAAAGGACUGUCAGGAUGCUGCAUAAAAUGGUCUUAGCUAGAGCCUAUAGAAUGUUAAUUUCUUGGGAAUAUGCUGCAAGGAACUGACCGGGAGCAGUUUUUCUUACCGAUCAUAGAAGCAGUAAGAGACAGCCAAAGAAGUACUCAAACACUUGACAUACCCAGAAAGAUCUAGAAGAAAAGAUUGGAACAGAUUGUAGUUUAAUUGUUAAAACUAUUGAAGUGAAUUUAAGCUGCACUUGAACUGUAUUUUUGAAAUAAAAUAUCUGAAGUAUUUAAUAUUGUCUUGAUAUUUUGUUAAACUUGGUUACUUUGCUUUUUAUCCAAAAAUUAAAGUAUGGUGGGUUUUCAACGUUGAAAUGACAUUCAAACUUCAACGUUGA